AGGGUGAUCGCUGAGAUAUCUGAAUCUCACCCCAAUGUUCUAAGAACUGGGAAAACGGGCUGCAAAAGGUGCAGACAAACCUCCGUCUCAGUCGUUUGGAAUUUGUGGGUCAAGCCGACAGGGUCCUCCAAGCUCCCGCUAUUUUCCCGGCUACAUGGGCUGCAUUUCAUAAAAGAUCUGAGGUCUUCAACAAUCCUUACAUCAGCCUCUGGAGGAUCUGAGACACAGGUUUUCAGCCCCACAGGAGCUGGGAACCAGAUCCAUGUUUCCUGGUCAAGACGCUCACCCAGGGGAGAAGAGAGUUCUCCCUCCUGCAAGCUUCCUCAGCUAUGUGUGGCAAAGAGACCCCUGCCCAGGGAGGUUUCUCAAACUUCUAAGAGCACAGGAGCGGUCUGUGGAUGCAGAUUCAGAUUCGGUGGGCCUGGAGUCUGAGCUCCUGCAACUAUAAUGAAGCUUCGCGGCGUUCGUUGCAGGCGCUGCCUGGCCGCAGACAUCCUGAGCAGCACUGGUAGAAACAAGGCAAGUUGUCAGGGCAGGAGGAAGACUCCUGCAGCAUCACAAGCUCACUCAGGGCCCACCUGACCCCGGGGGCCCUUUGAUCUUCUGCCUA
RNAcentral lists this long non-coding RNA (610 nucleotides) under Aotus nancymaae (Ma's night monkey). RNAcentral's name for it is "lncRNA (ENSANAG00000039421.1)". The record is from RNAcentral. Lineage: Eukaryota; Metazoa; Chordata; Mammalia; Primates; Aotidae.